GAACGAAGAGCUUGGAGUAGCAUACCUGAGUACUCUUAGUGGCGAACGGGUGAGUAACGCGUUGUGUGACUACCCCAAAGAUAGGGAUUACAGCUCGAAAGGACUGCUAAUACCUUAUGUUGUCAUUUUGAUUAGAUGCUAAAUGACUAAAGGAGCUUGCUCCGCUUUGGGAGGGGCCUGCGUCCCAUCAGCUAGUUGGCAGGGUAAUGGCCUACCAAGGCGAUGACGGGUAGGGGACCUGAGAGGGUGGCCCCCCACAAUGGAACUGAAACACGGUCCAUACACCUACGGGUGGCAGCAGUAGGGAAUAUUGGUAAUGUGCGAAAGCGCGAACCAGCAACGCCGCGUGUGCGAAGACGGCCUUCGGGUUGUAAAGCACCUUUCGGGAGGAAGAGGAAGGACUGUACUCCCGGAAUAAGUCUCGGCUAACUACGUGCCAGCAGCCGCGGUAAUACGUAGGAGGCAAACGUUAUCCGGAUUUACUGGGCGUAAAGCGCGUGCAGGCUGUUCAAUAAGUUGGGCGUGAAAGCUCCCGGCUCAACUGGGAGAGGUCGUUCAAUACUGUUGGACUAGAGGAUGGUAGAGGAAGGUGGAAUUCCGGGUGUAGUGGUGAAAUGCGCAGAUAUCCGGAGGAACACCAGUGGCGAAAGCGGCCUUCUGGACCAUUCCUGACGCUCAGACGCGAAAGCUAGGGUAGCGAACGGGAUUAGAGACCCCGGUAGUCCUAGCUGUAAACGAUGUGAACUUGGCGUCGGUGGGAUUAAAUCCAUCGGUGUCGUAGCUAACGCGAUAAGUUCACCGCCUGAGGACUACGG
Molecule: ribosomal RNA, 815 nt
Filed under: uncultured organism
Description: bacterial SSU rRNA
Rfam family: Bacterial small subunit ribosomal RNA
Source: RNAcentral